RNAcentral lists this unclassified non-coding RNA (634 nucleotides) under Hevea brasiliensis (rubber tree). The record is from RNAcentral. Lineage: Eukaryota; Viridiplantae; Streptophyta; Magnoliopsida; Malpighiales; Euphorbiaceae.
GUGAUGGACCCAGGCUUUCAAGAGGGCCAUACUUGGGGAUUACCACUAUAUGUUCUGUGUUAUCUCUAAUUUAUGUGUCAUUAAAAGCACCAUAUGUGUUUAGUGUUUCAAGUAUUGAUAGAGGAGAGUAUGCAAAAGCCAUGGAAAUUGCCUUGUUUGUUUGCUCAUGGCUCUUAGCAAUUGGUCAUAUUAUUGUGGCAUAUAGAACAAGUUGCAGAGAAAGAAGAAAGCUUCUGGUCUACAAAAUUGAUAUUGAAGCUGUUUCUACUUUCAAGAAUGGGUUUCCUGGGUAUAAAAAAAUUCCAAAACAAGAGAGAAUCAAGUGAUUUCAGCAGCAACAAUCAAUGAAGAACUAACAACAUUAGAUAGACUUCUUCUUCAUCUUUUCCUUCUUAUUUGCAAAGCAUGUUCUUCAGUAUCCAGUCCAGUUGCAGGUUUUCCAAAGGAAACUUGCAAGCUAGAGAUUUACUGAAGAAGCAAAAUUAACAAAAGGGAUAGAGAGUAUAUUUAUGACAUUCCCAUAUGUCAAUUUAAUAACAAUUGUAUACUCAUGGUUUUUGUAUCACUAUAGAGGUUGUGGCUUGAGGAUGAAAAUUCUAACAUGUACAGAUUUUGUAUUUUCAGUGAAAAAUGU